Molecule: long non-coding RNA, 1341 nt
Organism: Cherax quadricarinatus
Lineage: Eukaryota; Metazoa; Arthropoda; Malacostraca; Decapoda; Parastacidae
Source: RefSeq, a predicted model, not a curated record
GCUUGUUUGAUUACUGGUCGUGUGGUAAGCUGGUAGAAGUCACCUGACGUUGUAUCUGGAGAGCCACCUUCCCACUCACACUCACUCAGCUGCUGGUCAAGGCCACAUCUGUUGUACAUCAAUAGUAUUUAGUGUCAAGGAUCCAGAGGUACAGUGGCCGGCAGCGACAACUGGUUCACACGUGGCUUGCACUGGUUCUCGGCACUUGCCGUUGUGAUUUGACCUUGUAUAAACCACGCUCUAAACACCUAACAAGUUCCUCUAUACGCAGCAUGUGCUAAAGACAUGGAUCUUGAAUCUUUAGACUCUGAUGAUUCUCUAGAAAAGUCUCAUGACAAUCUUGUGAUUGAUCUAGAUUUUUCGCCCAAUGAAUUGGAGCGGAAUUUACCUAACUUAGAAGUCGGUGACACAAUUACCGCCACAGCUGAAAGUUUAGGACGCACACGGAGGCGCCGACAUCCACAUAAAUGCCCUCACUGCUACGCGAUUUAUUAUUAUGAAGCCAGGUUUAAGCAGCACCUUCUCGCUUGCGGAUCCAGUAUCCGCAUCGCACAGGCUAACAAGGUACCUGAAGUCCUGCCUAUAAAGCAAAAACCUGAUGAAAGCCGUAAACGGAAGCGUCAAACUGGUAUAGUAAAUACUUACCAAUGCCCUCAGUGCAUCCUUAAUUUCAAGUUUAGAAGUUUGUUUGAGCGACACCUUGUUACUCACAAAAUUGUCCCUUCGAAACGGAAGGAAGGAACUUCUAGCGCGGUGGACAGGGCAGGAUACUUCCUGCAGCGACGUCAGCUAUAUCCAUGUCCCUACUGCUUAAAAAUUUACCAAGAUGAAGACGAAUUUAAGGAACACUUUCUUGUUCACGAACCCAGUCCCAGCAGCGUCCGGCAUGAUGAACCCCAAGUCAGGCCAAAGAACUUGACCGUGAAAGAGGAAGGCGCUUUCUGAGGCUUCUUAUGAGGGUGUACUUUCACUUUCAAGGGAUCCAAGCUGGGCUGCUGUCUCGGAUCGACGACAGGCAAGUGCAAGGAAAUAAAUGUCUAAGUCAGCUUAAUGAAGAUUUAGACUACCUCGCUACUCUCCCACCUGUCACAUUACUUCCAUCUCAAACACGGGAGAUAAAGGACGCUUCUCGAGUGUUUGUGGAGCUUCCAGCGGCUGGAGAUGGAUUAGUCUGCUCCUUCCACUUCCUGCUGGUGUAAAGUGGAAGUCUCACCUGGACGGAGACUUCAAAAGCUUUUAUAAAUGACUGCAGUGUCUCCACUGCUUUAUACAAGACUUUGCUCUUUCUACUAUCUUUAUGUAUGCAGUUUUUAGAUUUAGUAAUAAACCAGGUUUAAUAAA